Long non-coding RNA from Brassica rapa (field mustard), 2368 nucleotides. RefSeq lists it as uncharacterized. The record is from RefSeq and is a predicted model, not a curated record. Lineage: Eukaryota; Viridiplantae; Streptophyta; Magnoliopsida; Brassicales; Brassicaceae.
UACUAAAACUGUUAAAAGUCUCACAUUCAAAUUUUUGCGAUCCAUGGUUUAAAGGUUUUUGUUAUGAUAAAAUAUAAAUGAUUACAAAAUCAUAUAACUAAGAAGUCUCAUUUAAUAAAUAUUAAGUGCAAAAGAUAUAUAUAUAUAUAUAUAUAAAUUAAACUAUAUACCAUCUAAAAUAUAUAAAUACUUUAAUUUCAAAAUUUUCUUUGAAUACAUAUUUUGGUAAAACUUAUUGAAUAAAUAUUGACAACUUAAUAUUUAAAUUUUAAACUUAGCUUUGAAUUUUUUUUAAAAAAUUACAAAAACUAUUAAUCACACAAUGAAAAUUUUGUUAUCACUUAUCUAAAGUUUUUGUUAUAAAAAAAUACAAAUGGUAAAAUAACCAUAUUAUAUAUAUGUUAACGUCAUUUAAAUUUAAUUAUAUACAAUUGAAAAUAUAAAAAGUAAUUGUUUGGAUUAAUGAAACUUAUUUAUGUGUUCGCAUCAAUUUAAUUAUAUAUGUAAUAAUUACUGAAUUUUUAAUUAUUCAAUAUUUUUUUUUAUAAAUAUGUAAAAGAACAUAUAAUACAUAAAAAUAGUAUAUAUAAUGUUCGUCCCGUGCCCUAACCUAGUAUAUAGUUAUUUUUCAAAACAAAAUUAAGCAUGAGUGCAUGACUAAUGUAUGUAUGUAUGUAUACACUAUCUAGAAACCGACUGUGUAAAAACGGAUUAUGACGCCAUUUCCCCUAAAGGCUUCAUUACCAGUCAAAUAGUUUUGUUUUUGAAAAAAGUCAGUCAAAUAGUUUACUAAAUAAUUUCCUUAAUUGUCAUCCUUAAAUAUCUGUAGUGACACGUGAGUUUGAUAAAACUGUGGACUUUGGUUAACGGUAGAAAGAGAUAAAAAGAGAGGAGGGGUCGAGAAUAGAAGAGAAAAAAAGUUGGGUGUGUAACGAACGUAAUAACAGAACGUAGUAAGUUGAGAAAAAAGGUUAAGGGCACUAAUAAACUAUUAAAAAAAAUAUUUUCGCAUAUUUUACUUUCUUUUUAUUUGAUUUCUAUAUAUAUACAUAUAUAUAAAUAUGUCAUUUCUUCUUUUUUUUCCAUUACAUUAUGUAUGUAAUACAAGAAAAUAUUUGUCUUAGAGGUUUUUUUAAACUUUUUGCGACCUCUUAAAAUCUGAAUGGCUGUUAUAGCAGAUUUUGGUUUCAAUUCAUCUUGUAACCGAACCUUCAUUUUUCUCGAAAUAAUGAUAUUUACAAUUUAACAAAAAAAAAUAUAUUUCAUUUCUUCUUCUUCUUCUUCCAUUACAUUAUGUAUAUAUGUAAUAAAAAAGAAAACAAAAUAUAUAAAAAUGUUAGAAAGUCUCGUGUUUGUGACAGCUAUAUUUCCUUUGUCUUCUCUCCAAAGGAUACUAGAUUAACACCAUAUCCACGUGUUUUCUUCGUCGUGUGAGGCAUCUCGUCGAUCGGGUUUCUCGCUGUCCAUCGUGCAGAAGGUGCGGCGAGGUCUCUCCUUAAUGGCGAGUUUGUGAAACUCCCGGUUUCGUCGGCUCCAGCGGUCUCUUGUGUUGGCGCGUGUGCGUAUGCGGCUUGGCUUUUGAGUCGGAGUCGUCUAUGGCUUUCGGCUAUAUCCUAGUUUGUGGCACUUCCUUUGUGUCCUCUUCUAGCCUCGGUGCUCCCUCUAGAUGUCUACGGUGGUCCUUCUUCAGCUGCCUUCAUCGUCAUGUUUUUUGCUUUCGUUCUUUUUUUGCAAGCUGGUCAGCGCCUUGGUUCUCAGGGUCUGUCCAUGUUCGAUGUUCUCCUCCUCUCUAAGUGGUCAUUGGUUUAGGUGGAGCUCAUACUUCUUUGGCUUGAACUCAUCAUCCCAACACUGAAGUUAGUCUCUAGACAUUCUGCUUUCAAGUGGAUGUGUUAUUUUGGUAUGUGAAAUGGACCUAGAGUGCUUAUUGUGGAGUUUUUGAUGCUUUCAGUCCGUUUUGUAUAGGCCUUUUAUGUAUGGCUCCUUGGUGGGUUCACGUCCGAAUAAAUGCUUGGUCGAGUUGAUGCGGGUGCUUGGCCUCUUGGUGCUUGGCUCCUUGGUGACUUUUUGUUCGUGUUGGCAGAUACUCAGGAAGUCUUGGGCUCUUUAAGAGCGGAUCAUCAUAGAAGCUAUAAUUAUCGAGUUCUCAUUCUCGUUGUAAUUGUGACUCUUUUUUUUGCGGCAAUCGGUGAAUGCAGAUUAGUUGAGGCCUCUUGAUAUUGGUUUCUGCCUGUUGUGUCUGUUCCAGCUUAGACUAAAUCGAAUUUAUGUUUAGAUUUUAUUUUUUCUUUCCUGUAUUUCUUUUUUCCAUUGUCCUUCUAUCAAAAACCUUGAAAAUUGGUAAUAAUAUUUUUACAUUUUUACAAAA